Molecule: long non-coding RNA, 370 nt
Organism: Drosophila sechellia
Lineage: Eukaryota; Metazoa; Arthropoda; Insecta; Diptera; Drosophilidae
Exons: 5
Source: RefSeq, a predicted model, not a curated record
AAUGCAAUGGUUUUGGAUUCUACAAGUUUGCGAUUAAUCUGGAGGUGCGUUGGUUGCAGCUAAUGUUAUUUCCGUCGAUUAUAGUUUGUAGCUUGUAUCUUAAUAAAUUAGGGAUUAAUUGUAAAUAUUAGACCACUUGCGAUUAAUCUAGAGGUACCAGUUUGCGAUUAGUCUGGAGUUUUCAGGUACGUUUGUAGCAGCUAAUAUUAAGGCCAUCGCUGCUGGGAUGCCGUGGCUUUGGAUUCCACAAGUUUGCGAUUAAUCUGGAGGUGCGUUGGGUGCAGCUAAUGUUAUAUCAGUCGAUUAUAGUUUGUAGCUUGUAUCUUAAUAAAUUAUUAAUUAAUUGUAAAUAAAUGUAUUUUGGUUUUAA